UUGGAAAGUCAGGUGUGAAAGCCUACAGCUUAACUGUAGAACUGCACUUGAAACUCCCAACCUAGAGUAUGGAAGGGGCAGAUGGAAUUAGUGGUGUAGGGGUAAAAUCCGUAGAUAUCACUAGGAAUACCGAAAGCGAAGGCGAUCUGCUGGGACAUUACUGACGCUAAGGCGUGAAAGCGUGGGGAGCAAACAGGAUUAGAUACCCUGGUAGUCCACGCCCUAAACGAUGAACACUAGUCGUCGCUCUGCUAGUCAGGGCGGUGAUGCACUUAACAGAUUAAGUGUUCCGCCUGGGGAGUACGGUCGCAAGAUUAAAACUCAAAGGAAUAGACGGGGACCCGCACAAGUGGUGGAGCAUGUGGUUUAAUUCGAAGAUACGCGAAGAACCUUACCUGGCCUUGACAUUGAUUGAACACUCUAGAGAUAGAGUGGUGCCCUUCGGGGAACAUGAAAACAGGUGCUGCACGGCUGUCGUCAGCUCGUGUCGUGAGAUGUUGGGUUAAGUCCCGCAACGAGCGCAACCCUCGUCCUUAGUUGCUAGCAGUUCGGCUGAGCACUCUAAGGAGACUGCCUUCGCAAGGAGGAGGAAGGUGAGGACGACGUCAAGUCAUCAUGGCCCUUAUGGCCAGGGCUACACACGUGCUACAAUGGGGCGUACAGAGUGUUGCGAU
RNAcentral lists this ribosomal RNA (674 nucleotides) under uncultured bacterium. RNAcentral describes it as "bacterial SSU rRNA". It matches the Rfam family "Bacterial small subunit ribosomal RNA", at positions 580 to 1253 of the family's 1533-position model. The record is from RNAcentral.